Molecule: ribosomal RNA, 253 nt
Filed under: uncultured bacterium
Lineage: Bacteria
Description: partial 16S ribosomal RNA
Rfam family: Bacterial small subunit ribosomal RNA
Source: RNAcentral
CACGUAGGGGACGAGCGUUGUCCGGAUUCAUUGGGCGUAAAGCGCGCGUAGGCGGCUCGGAAAGUCGGGCGUGAAAUGCCGGGGCUCAACCCCGGGACUGCGUCCGAUACUUCCGAGCUGGAGGUAGGUAGGGGAGAUCGGAAUUCCUGGUGUAGCGGUGAAAUGCGCAGAUAUCAGGAAGAACACCCGUGGCGAAAGCGGCUCUCUGGAACGGUACUGACGCUGAGACGCGAAAGCGUGGGGAGCGAACAGG